UGCAUUCUCUCCAAUUUUCUAGAACCUUCUUACCUUGCCAUGAUCUUACACGGCAAGUUAUCUUCUAGAAUGUUCCAAAUAUGCAUUGCAUAUUUCAACACUAAAUUUCUUUGAGUUUGACCCUACUAUUGUAACUUGUGGUGAAUAAUUUACUAACCACGUAUUUCCCUAUGAAUUUUCGGUACACCAACUUAAAUCAUGUCAUCAGUUACAAAC
Molecule: long non-coding RNA, 216 nt
Filed under: Setaria viridis
Lineage: Eukaryota; Viridiplantae; Streptophyta; Magnoliopsida; Poales; Poaceae
Description: long non-coding RNA (SVIR_LNC001592)
Source: RNAcentral